Molecule: ribosomal RNA, 497 nt
Filed under: uncultured bacterium
Lineage: Bacteria
Description: partial 16S ribosomal RNA
Rfam family: Bacterial small subunit ribosomal RNA
Source: RNAcentral
GAUGAACGCUGGCGGCGUGCCUAAUACAUGCAAGUCGAGCGAACAGAUGAGGAGCUUGCUCCUCUGACGUUAGCGGCGGACGGGUGAGUAACACGUGGAUAACCUACCUAUAAGACUGGGAUAACUUCGGGAAACCGGAGCUAAUACCGGAUAAUAUAUUGAACCGCAUGGUUCAAUAGUGAAAGACGGUUUUGCUGUCACUUAUAGAUGGUUCCGCGCCGCAUUAGCUAGUUGGUAAGGUAACGGCUUACCAAGGCAACGAUGCGUAGCCGACCUGAGAGGGUGAUCGGCCACACUGGAACUGAGACACGGUCCAGACUCCUACGGGAGGCAGCAGUAGGGAAUCUUCCGCAAUGGGCGAAAGCUUGACGGAGCGACGCCGCGUGAGUGAUGAAGGUCUUCGGAGCGUAAAACUCUGUUAUUAGGGAAGAACAAAUGUGUAAGUAACUAUGCACGUCUUGACGGUACCUAAUCAGAAAGCCACGGCUAACUACGUG